AAACGACUCUCGGCAACGGAUAUCUCGGCUCUCGCAUCGAUGAAGAACGUAGCGAAAUGCGAUACUUGGUGUGAAUUGCAGAAUCCCGUGAACCAUCGAGUCUUUGAACGCAAGUUGCGCCCGAAGCCAUCCGGCCGAGGGCACGUCUGCCUGGGUGUCACGCAACGUCGCCCCCCCCGUCAAACGAGCCCCCGACACGGCGGGCGAGGGGGGCGGAAUCUGGCCUCCCGGGAUCCCCCGAUCGCGGUUGGCCCAAAAGAAAGGGUCCCGGCGACGGCGGCCGCGACGAUCGGUGGUUGACAGACCCUCGGAAGCAGUCGCGCCCGACCGUCACCCGAGGGAGCCCCACAGGCCCCUGCGCCUCCCCGCUCCGGGGAACGAACGCUCCGUACGCGACCCCAGGUCAGGCGGGACCACCCGCUGAGUUUAAGCAUAUCAAUAAGCGGAGGAAAAGAAACUUACCAGGAUUCCCCUAGUAACGGCGAGCGAACCGGGAAGAGCCC
This 503-nucleotide ribosomal RNA is filed under the name Drypetes sp. BB0146. Its description in RNAcentral is "eukaryotic LSU rRNA". The stretch from base 5 to 160 matches the Rfam family "5.8S ribosomal RNA". The record is from RNAcentral. Lineage: Eukaryota; Viridiplantae; Streptophyta; Magnoliopsida; Malpighiales; Putranjivaceae.